This 305-nucleotide ribosomal RNA is filed under the name uncultured bacterium. RNAcentral's name for it is "partial 16S ribosomal RNA". It matches the Rfam family "Bacterial small subunit ribosomal RNA", at positions 506 to 807 of the family's 1533-position model. The record is from RNAcentral.
ACAGCAGUAGCCGCGGGAAUACGUAGGGUGCGAGCGUUAAUCGGAAUUACUGGGCGUAAAGCGUGCGCAGGCGGUUAUAUAAGACAGAUGUGAAAUCCCCGGGCUCAACCUGGGACCUGCAUUUGUGACUGUAUAGCUAGAGUACGGUAGAGGGGGAUGGAAUUCCGCGUGUAGCAGUGAAAUGCGUAGAUAUGCGGAGGAACACCGAUGGCGAAGGCAAUCCCCUGGACCUGUACUGACGCUCAUGCACGAAAGCGUGGGGAGCAAACAGGAUUAGAUACCCCAGUAGUCCCUGUCUCUUAUAC